GCAACUCGCCUGCAUGAAGUUGGAAUUGCUAGUAAUCGCGAAUCAGAAUGUCGCGGUGAAUACGUUCCCGGGCCUUGUACACACCGCCCGUCACACCAUGGGAGCCGGGAAUGCCCGAAGUCGGUGACCCAACCGUAAGGAGGGAGCCGCCGAAGGCAGGCCUGGUAACUGGGGUGAAGUCGUAACAAGGUACC
RNAcentral lists this ribosomal RNA (194 nucleotides) under uncultured bacterium. Its description in RNAcentral is "partial 16S ribosomal RNA". It matches the Rfam family "Bacterial small subunit ribosomal RNA", at positions 1307 to 1500 of the family's 1533-position model. The record is from RNAcentral.